This 166-nucleotide microRNA precursor is filed under the name Pelobates cultripes (western spadefoot toad). The record is from RNAcentral. Lineage: Eukaryota; Metazoa; Chordata; Amphibia; Anura; Pelobatidae.
GCAGACACAUUCCAGCCAAUCAGCAGCAGACCCUCCCUCCCAGACCCUCCUACCUCCUGGACAGCUCACUAAGAAUGCAGCUUCAAAUGAAUUAAAAUGGAUGCUGUCCAGGAGGUGGGAGGGUCUGGGAGGGAGGGUCUGCUGCUGAUUGGCUGGAAUGUGUCUG